This 254-nucleotide long non-coding RNA is filed under the name Carica papaya (papaya). Its description in RNAcentral is "long non-coding RNA (CPAP_LNC008250)". The record is from RNAcentral. Lineage: Eukaryota; Viridiplantae; Streptophyta; Magnoliopsida; Brassicales; Caricaceae.
UUAUUUAAAUACUGUUUUCCUUACUGAGUAUAUGGAACUCACCAUUUUCAUGCUUCUCCAGAUGAGGAAGAUAAUAAGGAACCGAUCGCUGACCUACCCCUUGAAGUUUAUGAGAAUCCCUGGUUUCACAAACUUUGAGUGCAUGACUUGUCUCGCACUCUGAUGAGUUCAUUCGCAUAGUGAAAGAAGUUGAUUUUGAUAUUUUGUAUUUUGUUGCCACUUAUGGCCUCAAGUAUAUAUGUGUAAUUGGAACU